Molecule: ribosomal RNA, 1672 nt
Filed under: Triticum aestivum (bread wheat)
Lineage: Eukaryota; Viridiplantae; Streptophyta; Magnoliopsida; Poales; Poaceae
Description: partial small subunit ribosomal RNA
Source: RNAcentral
CCUCCUCCGCCGCCGCCCCCAUUGGCUUGGCCCUCUCUAGUUCCCGACUUCCUGCCCUGCCCGCGCCGCGUCACCGUAUCCUCCUUCUCCGCUGCACCGCCGCAGUCCUUCUCCUGCCCCUCCACUGGAACCAACCGGAGAACGCCUGGAAGUGGAGGAAAUCCCCGUCUGUCUCUCUACUGGAUCUGGAUCGGCUCCCGUGACUCUUUCUCCCUCUGUUGAUCCGGCAUGGAGGUCAAACCUGGCGUCGGUUUGUCUUAGCGGAGCAGCCGUGUGGUGGCCGGUCUACGGCAUGGCUCAUUGGAGGUAGCAGCGACAGCGGCAUCGCAGUUUCCUUCCCCGUCCAUGAGGCACACAUACUGGAACACGGCGGUCCAGCCAACCUCUGGCCUCCGCUUCUUCCUCCCCGACGGUGCUGUGGAACCAACGCUGGGUUCCUCUACCCCAGACCGUGGCAUAACACGCACGAACUGAAGAUAAGUUAUUCUAUUUCUUCCUUAAAGUGAGAUCGUUUGCUUCUCUGAUCCAGUUCUAGUAAUUUGUACAAGGCCUUAGCUUGUUGUCAGGGAGAAACUUUCAUCUCAUUGCUAAAACUUGGGUAAACUAUGGGCAUACAAAAUACAUCUUUGUUUUUGUUGCCUUACAAACAUGGCUGUGAACAAACCGAAUGUUGGCAAACAAUUGUAUAUCCAUUUUCACUUAUUAUGAUAUUUCUGAAAGUGAAAGGGACUAAUGAUAGCACAGAGAGCAGAGAGCACACGGGAUAUGUUGGAAAAAUUGGUCGAAGUUACAAUGCAUUAGCUGGCAUAAAUAUAGCACAACUAGCAUGCCUAAAUGCACACAACAUCGAUGGUAAGAUAUGCUUGACAACUACCUAACAGGAUCAGAUUAUUCAUUUUGUAAAUGUAAAAAAAAUAUUAUUGUCUUCACAACGUCCACCACUGAAUAUCUCUAUGUAUUUCUAGACCUUGAUUGGAUAUUAAAAAGACAAUCCAAUUUAUCUUCUCGCUUAUGUCCUGGAAGGUUUCAGGAUCUGUAUCUAUAUUCGUGAUUGCUACUGCAUGUGUUCUGACUCGGCUUGUACCUUCAUUAAAAUGAAGUAAUACUAAAGCUAUGUAUGAGUCUGAUUCGUGCAAGCCUUGUUCCUACUGCUGCCACCUUGUAUAAAUAUAUACAGGUUCGUGCAAUACUUGCUCCUACUUCAAAUUUUUAGUCUGAACGCCUAUAUAUACUUGCAUUAGACUAAAUUUGUAGUCUGAUUCGUGAAGUAGGAGCAAGGGUUGUUCCUACUGCUGCCACCAUGUAUAAAUAUAUACUGGUUAAUUUCAUUUAACUAUUUUUUCUGUCACAAAUAAUAGUACUAUGCUGGUCAAGUGGGCAGCGUAUAGAAUCGUCUUGCACAGAAGUAACACGGAUAAUAUAAUCAAUGGGUUUAUGAUAGAAAAUCAUUUCUGUAUAUCCUGAAUGAAUAUAAACGAUGCAUGAUUAUUUCAAGUUGCACUUUCCUAUCUAUUAUCUCAUUGUUUAUCAAGUAUUUUCAUGUUUCAUAGUCCACUACAUUACAAUGGGUUUAUAUGGCCUCAACUAAUGCUGCUAUAGUAGGAGUUCUGUGAUGUGUGUUUCGUCACUUUGUCAUUUGACACACUUUUCUUUGGGUUAAUUUUAAGCAACC